GAGUUUGAUUCUGGCUCAGGAUGAACGCUGGCGGCGUGCCUAACACAUGCAAGUCGAGCGAGAAGUUAAUAACCGACACUUCGGUAGAGGUAAUUAAUGGAAAGCGGCGGACGGGUGAGUAACGCGUAGGCAACCUGCCCUUUGCAGAGGGAUAGCCACUGGAAACGGUGAUUAAUACCUCAUAAAGCCGGAGGUUCACAUGAGAAACCGGCCAAAGAUUUAUCGGCAAAGGAUGGGCCUGCGUCUGAUUAGUUAGUUGGUGAGGUAACGGCUCACCAAGGCGACGAUCAGUAGCCGACCUGAGAGGGUAAUCGGCCACAUUGGAACUGAGACACGGUCCAAACUCCUACGGGAGGCAGCAGUGAGGAAUAUUGCACAAUGGGGGGAACCCUGAUGCAGCAACGCCGUGUGAACGAAGAAGGCCUUAGGGUCGUAAAGUUCUGUCCUAAGGGAAGAAGAAAGUGACGUACCUAGGAGGAGCCCCG
RNAcentral lists this ribosomal RNA (485 nucleotides) under Peptostreptococcaceae bacterium canine oral taxon 221. Its description in RNAcentral is "bacterial SSU rRNA". It matches the Rfam family "Bacterial small subunit ribosomal RNA", at positions 9 to 495 of the family's 1533-position model. Lineage: Bacteria; Bacillati; Bacillota; Clostridia; Peptostreptococcales; Peptostreptococcaceae. The record is from RNAcentral.